GGGGAGACGGCUCAAUGGGCAAAGCGCUUGCUCUGAAAGCAUGAGGGCCUGAGUUUGAGUCUCUAGUUCCCCA
This 73-nucleotide transfer RNA is filed under the name Cricetulus griseus (Chinese hamster). It matches the Rfam family "tRNA". Rfam says of the family: Transfer RNA (tRNA) molecules are approximately 80 nucleotides in length. Lineage: Eukaryota; Metazoa; Chordata; Mammalia; Rodentia; Cricetidae. The record is from Rfam by way of RNAcentral.